This 82-nucleotide small RNA is filed under the name Mytilus galloprovincialis (Mediterranean mussel). The record is from RNAcentral. Lineage: Eukaryota; Metazoa; Mollusca; Bivalvia; Mytilida; Mytilidae.
AAUGCUCCAUCGUGGAGCAUUUUUCAAUUUGUCUUUCAAAUUUGAAAAAUGAAAAAUGCUCCAACGUGGAGCAUUUUUCAAU